Long non-coding RNA from Phacochoerus africanus (Common warthog), 584 nucleotides. RefSeq lists it as uncharacterized. The transcript is spliced from 3 exons. NCBI's taxonomy places the organism in Eukaryota, Metazoa, Chordata, Mammalia, Artiodactyla, Suidae. The record is from RefSeq and is a predicted model, not a curated record.
UUGGAGCAAAAUACUUUUGACAUGUCUCAUUUGUUUUUCACUAAAUAGAUCCCUGAAUUUGAUGCAGAAUGUAAUUACAAGGAUUCUUCUAAGAGGAAGGCAGGAGGGUCAGAGUCAGAGAAGAUGUGGCCUGGAAGCAGAGAUUGGCAUCAUUCAGAGUCACCAACCAAGGAAUGCAGACAGCAUCUGAAAGCUGGAAAAGGCAAGGAAACAGACUGGCCCCCAAAGCCUCCAGAACAAAUGCAACCCUGCUGAUCUACUGGGGACUUCUGACGUUCAGAGCUGCAAGGUAUUCUAGACACUCAUGCACAUGCCAGGGCAGGAUACAAGCUCAGAAAAGACCUGAAAAGACCCAAAGUUCUCACCUCAGACUGACCUUCAGGAUCCCAGCAAGAAGGAAGUGAAGGACAUUAAGACUUGGACACUCUAAAGCAACACUAUAUACAGAAAAUUAGAAAUUUCUGCUUCAAAUGAUUUGAGUAGACAUUUCUCCGAAGAGGACAUUCAAAUGGCUAAGAAGCACAUGAAAGUCUGCUCAACUUUGUUCAUCAUUAGGAAAAUGGAAAUCAAAACUACAUGAGAAA